Molecule: ribosomal RNA, 253 nt
Filed under: uncultured bacterium
Lineage: Bacteria
Description: partial 16S ribosomal RNA
Rfam family: Bacterial small subunit ribosomal RNA
Source: RNAcentral
UACGGGGGGGGCAAGCGUUGUUCGGAAUUACUGGGCGUAAAGGGCGCGUAGGCGGCGCGGGUAGUCAUCGGUGAAAGUUCAGGGCUCAACUCUGAAUCGGCCGGUGAUACUCCCGUGCUCGAGCACUGUAGAGGCAGGUGGAAUUCCGGGUGUAGCGGUGGAAUGCGUAGAGAUCCGGAAGAACACCGGUGGCGAAGGCGGCCUGCUGGGCAGUAGCUGACGCUGAUGCGCGACAGCGUGGGGAGCAAACAGG